GAUGAAGAACGUAGCGAAAUGCGAUAAGUAGUGUGAAUUGCAGACUUUAGUGAAUCAUCGAAUCUUUGAACGCACAUUGCGCCCCUUGGUAUUCCAUUGGGCAUGCCUGUUCGAGCGUCAUUUACACCCUCAAGCCUAGCUUGGUGUUGGGCGUUGUCCGCAAAGACUCGCCUCAAAUUCAUUGGCAGCGGCAUCGUCAGCUUCUCGCGCAGCACAUUGCGCUUCAGAAGGCUUCUGGCGGGCUCGCGUCCACUAAGAUACCACCCAGUUUGACCUCGAAUCAGGUAGGGAUACCCGCUGAACUUAAGCAUAUCAAUAAGCGGAGGA
This 327-nucleotide unclassified non-coding RNA is filed under the name soil metagenome. RNAcentral describes it as "partial contains 5.8S ribosomal RNA, internal transcribed spacer 2, and large subunit ribosomal RNA". The stretch from base 1 to 120 matches the Rfam family "5.8S ribosomal RNA", at positions 35 to 154 of the family's 154-position model. The record is from RNAcentral.